Molecule: long non-coding RNA, 1514 nt
Organism: Phascolarctos cinereus (koala)
Lineage: Eukaryota; Metazoa; Chordata; Mammalia; Diprotodontia; Phascolarctidae
Source: RefSeq, a predicted model, not a curated record
UCAGUUUAAUAUCUGAUACGUCCUCUAUCCGAGGACAAUAUAUUAAAUGGAUUUUUGGAGCAGGGAGAUGGAAUAGGAGCUUGCUCCGUCCACUCCACGCAUCGACCCGGUAUUGCAGUACUUCCGGGAACGGUGCACCUCCCACUGGGAGGAAAAUGGUGUUCACGAAAAACAGACCUCGGGGGCUCUGCAGAGUAACCGUCUGCAAGACGUAGGAAAAUUGGCUUCAUUUCCAUGGUAGGAGGUGAUCAAGAAUAAGAAAAAGGAAGCAAGAAACCAGAGGCUACCUAAGGAGUUGAUGUGGCAUUUAGCUGUUUUAGUCUUUGUACCAACAACCCCUACAACCCUGGCACAAAACCACUUCCUGUUGGAUGAAACAGUGUUUGUUGUUGUUGUUGUUGUUUUUGGGGAGGUGUGGCACUCAGACCUUUUCAUGCAUGGCCAUAACACAGCAUCAUUGUUAUCAGAGGAGCUGUUAAAGCCUUUACAAAUAUAUUUCAUUACAAGACCCUACAUCUCUUAGAUCUUAUAUCGAUCUACUGCCCCUUCAACAUUCUUAAUUUUAAAAGUGAUGAGCACCUUAGUGACAGUGCUUAAAUCAGAUUCUAAACUGCCUGACUCUGGGUGUGGCCUAGAGGGACUUUCAGGGCUGCUGGUAAUUCAGCUGUCCUCUUCCCUAGUUCCAGGCAGGAGUCUCCUUUUUAGCUUCCUCAAGCCUGGCCAGGCCUGGCCCUCAAUCCUAUCUUCCUCCUCCCAUGAAUUUAUUCUUCCCAUAUUCAUCCAUAUCCACCUUCCAGAACUGUAUGGGCAACACUGUGUGUUCUGACAUCCCCAAGUCAGAAAAGGUUUGAAUUAUUCUCCACUGUGUGGUGGUCCCUGCUGAGGCUGCCGAUGAGGCCUCCAGGGUUGUGUUUCUUCUACCCUUCUUUCGAACUGCCUGGAUCACAAGCUUCUACUCUCUCUAUCUUUACUUCGCUCUGUUGUGCUAGGUUGUCCAUCAGCUGACUCAGUAUUAAUACUGCCACUCCAUGAUGACUUCUUUAAAAAAUAUGGCAAUAUCUGUGCCUAUUUUUGUUGUCCACUCAAUCAUCUGCCCUCUAGAUUCAUUAAAGCACUUAUGAAAUGCUUACCAUGAUACCUAGAAUCCCAGAUGAAAUUUCCAAAUAAAAACGUAAAUGACCUCCGUGCCACAAAAUCACAUGAUUUUUCCCAAUCAGACCUCUACGUAGUAUACAUUUGAAUUUCCUUAUGCAUUCUUCAUGUUCCAUUUUGUAUUAUAAUUAUUUCUAUACAUGUGUGAUGGUAUCUUAUUAGAUUUAUAAAUAUCUUUGAAGGCAAAGAUAAUGUCUUAUUUAUCUAUUGUCUCCCCCACCCACCAUAUAAACACUUUGUACAGCACUGUGUACUUGGUCCAUAUUAAUAAUGUUUGCCGCAUCAAAUAAAAUUACAACAUACUGUUAAAUACUGAAAAUAUGCUGAUUGGGGCUCUGAAGUCAGGAGGGCCUCAGUUCAAA